Molecule: ribosomal RNA, 396 nt
Filed under: uncultured bacterium
Lineage: Bacteria
Description: bacterial SSU rRNA
Rfam family: Bacterial small subunit ribosomal RNA
Source: RNAcentral
GGGGAAUAUUGCACAAUGGGGGAAACCCUGAUGCAGCAACGCCGCGUGAGUGAUGACGGCCUUCGGGUUGUAAAGAUCUGUCUUCAGGGACGAUAAUGACGGUACCUGAGGAGGAAGCCACGGCUAACUACGUGCCAGCAGCCGCGGUAAUACGUAGGUGGCAAGCGUUGUCCGGAUUUACUGGGCGUAAAGGGAGCGUAGGCGGACUUUUAAGUGAGAUGUGAAAUACCCGGGCUCAACCUGGGUGCUGCAUUUCAAACUGGAAGUUUUGAGUGCAGGAGAGUAGAGUGGAAAUCCUAGUGUAGCGGUGAAAUGCGUAGAGAUUAGGAAGAACACCCGUGGCGAAGGCGACUCUCUGGACUGUAACUGACGCUGAGGCUCGAAAGCGUGGGGAGC